Molecule: ribosomal RNA, 281 nt
Filed under: uncultured prokaryote
Description: partial 16S ribosomal RNA
Rfam family: Bacterial small subunit ribosomal RNA
Source: RNAcentral
UACGUAGGGGGCUAGCGUUAUCCGGAAUUACUGGGCGUAAAGGGUGCGUAGGUGGUUUCUUAAGUCAGAGGUGAAAGGCUACGGCUCAACCGUAGUAAGCCUUUGAAACUGAGAAACUUGAGUGCAGGAGAGGAGAGUAGAAUUCCUAGUGUAGCGGUGAAAUGCGUAGAUAUUAGGAGGAAUACCAGUUGCGAAGGCGGCUCUCUGGACUGUAACUGACACUGAGGCACGAAAGCGUGGGGAGCAAACAGGAUUAGAUACCCCCGUAGUCCCUGAGCGGG